RNAcentral lists this ribosomal RNA (253 nucleotides) under uncultured bacterium. RNAcentral describes it as "partial 16S ribosomal RNA". It matches the Rfam family "Bacterial small subunit ribosomal RNA", at positions 524 to 776 of the family's 1533-position model. The record is from RNAcentral.
UACGAAGGGUGCAAGCGUUACUCGGAAUUACUGGGCGUAAAGCGUGCGUAGGCGGUUUGUUAAGUCCGCUGUGAAAGCCCUGGGCUCAACCUGGGAAUUGCAGUGGAUACUGGCAAGCUAGAGUGCGGUAGAGGAUGGUGGAAUUCCCGGUGUAGCGGUGAAAUGCGUAGAGAUCGGGAGGAACACCGGUGGCGAAGGCGGCGACCUGGGUAGAUACUGACGCUGAGGUGCGAAAGCGUGGGGAGCAAACAGG